Esox lucius (northern pike) is the source of this 1195-nucleotide long non-coding RNA. The record is from Ensembl. NCBI's taxonomy places the organism in Eukaryota, Metazoa, Chordata, Actinopteri, Esociformes, Esocidae.
AAUUUGUUUGAGAAACGAUUAUAUCUCAGUAAAAUUAUGUGGAUUCAUCUUUAUGCCCUUUAUAACCAACACAAAUAUAGUAUUGUAACUAUAACUUACUUGCUAAAGGCCAAAGUGCCAAAGGCCCUGAGGUCCGGUUCAGCAUCAAACAAUCAGAAAUGGAGAAGGCAUGUAAAUCUAUAUGUAAACACAAUGAAUGCCAGGUUGUAACCUUGUACUCUGUAUUCUCUUAAAUACAAAUCCCGAUUUCAUACCUGCUGAUCUACUUAAGUCAUAUUUAACAUAGACAACACCUAAUGACAUCAGUGCCUCUGUGUUUCAGAGGACAUUUUCACGGUGCCCCAGUCAUAAGCUUGAGUCACUGUGGCUAUAGGUCUAACGUCAUCCCCACUUCACUGCGGCUAUAGCAAUAGGUCUAACGUCAUCCCCACUUCACUGCGGCUAUAGCAAUAGGUCUAACGUCAUCCCCACUUCACUGUGGCUAUAGCAAUAGGUCUAACGUCAUCCCCACUUCACUGCGGCUUUAGCAAUAGGUCUAACGUCAUCCCCACUUCACUGCGGCUUUAGCAAUAGGUCUAACGUCAUCCCCACUUCACUGUGGCCUCCUCCGCCACACCCACACUCCAGAAUCCACCCGUGUCUGGAGCAACCGUGGAACUGGGAAACUGCGAUGGCAAUUAUGGACAAUAAAACGUACCAAGUGGUCGAGUUGUACCUGGCUAAUCUUUUCCGUAUGAAGACAAACCCCUCACACAGUGUGGGACAUUGUCUUCCUGACACUUUGCUCUUCCUCUUCAAACCUCCCCCUCAUCCUCAUGAUGUUGCCUACCUUCCCCCGCGUGGGUGAUCAAGCCCGCAUCCUCAUGGAGUGAUCUAGUCCGUCCGUCAAAUAGGGGUCCAGCCGCUCCCUUCAUUAAGUGGUCCAGCCUCCCUCUCUUGAGGUGGUCUAAGUCUCUCCCCCAUGAAGGUGUCUAGCCUCCCCCUUUCUAAUGUGUAAUAAAUACUGUGAACGUCUCCCAGGCUUUCUUCCCUGUCUGGCUCAGUUGGUGGAAUGCAGUCAGAGCCUCGGCCAUCUCUCUCCCACCCACAUUAACUCUCAUUAUCUAGGGCUAAAUAAACCCAGGAAGAGUUUGAGUGAUAAUGCAAAUCUGUAAACAGUGCAUUAAAUAAAUAGCAGUACAAUGUGUUGUCUUCC